RNAcentral lists this ribosomal RNA (226 nucleotides) under uncultured gamma proteobacterium CHAB-V-34. RNAcentral describes it as "partial 16S ribosomal RNA". It matches the Rfam family "Bacterial small subunit ribosomal RNA", at positions 1293 to 1518 of the family's 1533-position model. The record is from RNAcentral. Lineage: Bacteria; Pseudomonadati; Pseudomonadota; Gammaproteobacteria.
CCGGAUUGGAGUCUGCAACUCGACUCCAUGAAGUCGGAAUCGCUAGUAAUCGCAGGUCAGCAUACUGCGGUGAAUACGUUCCCGGGCCUUGUACACACCGCCCGUCACACCAUGGGAGUGGGAUGCAAAAGAAGUAGCUAGUUUAACCUUCGGGAGAACGGUUACCACUUUGUGUUUCAUGACUGGGGUGAAGUCGUAACAAGGUAACCCUAGGGGAACCUGGGGU